Molecule: transfer RNA, 70 nt
Filed under: Trichonephila inaurata madagascariensis
Lineage: Eukaryota; Metazoa; Arthropoda; Arachnida; Araneae; Nephilidae
Rfam family: tRNA
About the family: Transfer RNA (tRNA) molecules are approximately 80 nucleotides in length.
Source: Rfam by way of RNAcentral
GGGUGUAUAGCUCAGCGGUAAAGUAUUCGACUACAGAUUGAGAGGUCUCUGGUUCAAACCCGGGUGUCCA